This 484-nucleotide ribosomal RNA is filed under the name uncultured bacterium. RNAcentral describes it as "partial 16S ribosomal RNA". It matches the Rfam family "Bacterial small subunit ribosomal RNA", at positions 30 to 507 of the family's 1533-position model. The record is from RNAcentral.
AUUGAACGCUGGCGGCAGGCCUAACACAUGCAAGUCGAGCGGAUGAAGGGAGCUUGCUCCUGGAUGCAGCGGAGGACGGGUGAGUAAUGCCUAGGAAUCUGCCUGAUCGCGGGGGCUAACGUCCGGAAACGGGCGCUAAUACCGCAUACGUCGUGAGGGAGAAAGUGGGGGAUCUUCGGAACUCACGCUAUCAGAUGAGACUAGGUCGGAUUAGCUAGUUGGCGGGGUAAAGGCCUACCAAGGCGACGAUCCGUAACUGGUCUGAGAGGAUGAUCAGUCACACUGGAACUGAGACACGGUCCAGACUCCUACGGGAGGCAGCAGUGGGGAAUAUUGGACAAUGGGCGAAAGCCUGAUCCAGCCAUGCCGCGUGUGUGAAGAAGGUCUUCGGAUUGUAAAGCACUGUAAGUUGGGAGGAAGGGCAGUAAGUUAAUACCUUGCUGUUUUGACGGUACCAACAGAAUAAGCACCGGCUAACUUCGUG